Molecule: non-coding RNA, 30 nt
Filed under: Mus musculus (house mouse)
Lineage: Eukaryota; Metazoa; Chordata; Mammalia; Rodentia; Muridae
Also listed under: 1 other name
Source: RNAcentral
UGCAAGUCCUGUGCACAAGGUAACCAGAGC